CUACGGGCGGCUGCAGUGGGGAAUAUUGCACAAUGGAGGAAACUCUGAUGCAGCAACGCCGCGUGGAGGAUGACACUUUUCGGAGCGUAAACUCCUUUUAUAUAUGAAGAUAAUGACGGUAAUAUAUGAAUAAGCACCGGCUAACUCCGUGCCAGCAGCCGCGGUAAUACGGGGGGUGCAAGCGUUACUCGGAAUCACUGGGCGUAAAGCGCAUGUAGGCGGGCAAAUAAGUUGGAAGUGAAAUCCUAUGGCUUAACCAUAGAACUGCUUCCAAAACUGUUUGCCUAGAGUGUGGGAGAGGUAGAUGGAAUUUCUGGUGUAGGGGUAAAAUCCGUAGAGAUCAGAAGGAAUACCGAUUGCGAAGGCGAUCUACUAGAACACUAUUGACGCUGAGAUGCGAAAGCGUGGGGAGCAAACAGGAUUAGAUACCCUUGUAGUC
This 439-nucleotide ribosomal RNA is filed under the name uncultured bacterium. Its description in RNAcentral is "partial 16S ribosomal RNA". It matches the Rfam family "Bacterial small subunit ribosomal RNA", at positions 339 to 795 of the family's 1533-position model. The record is from RNAcentral.